ACUCCUGCGGGAGGCAGCAGUGGGGAAUAUUGGACAAUGGGCGCAAGCCUGAUCCAGCCAUGCCGCGUGAGUGAUGAAGGCCCUAGGGUUGUAAAGCUCUUUCACCGGUGAAGAUAAUGACGGUAACCGGAGAAGAAGCCCCGGCUAACUUCGUGCCAGCAGCCGCGGUAAUACGAAGGGGGCUAGCGUUGUUCGGAUUUACUGGGCGUAAAGCGCACGUAGGCGGACUAUUAAGUCAGGGGUGAAAUCCCGGGGCUCAACCCCGGAACUGCCUUUGAUACUGGUAGUCUUGAGUUCGAGAGAGGUGAGUGGAAUUCCGAGUGUAGAGGUGAAAUUCGUAGAUAUUCGGAGGAACACCAGUGGCGAAGGCGGCUCACUGGCUCGAUACUGACGCUGAGGUGCGAAAGCGUGGGGAGCAAACAGGAUUAGAUACCCCUGUAGUCCCAU
Molecule: ribosomal RNA, 447 nt
Filed under: uncultured organism
Description: partial 16S ribosomal RNA
Rfam family: Bacterial small subunit ribosomal RNA
Source: RNAcentral